AACGUAGGAGGCAAGCGUUAUCCGGAUUCACUGGGCGUAAAGCGCGUGCAGGUGGCGCGGUAAGUUGGAUGUGAAAUCUCCCGGCUCAACUGGGAGAGGUCAUUCAAUACUACCGUGCUUGAGAGCAGAAGAGGAAGAUGGAAUUCCCGGUGUAGUGGUGAAAUGCGUAGAUAUCGGGAGGAACACCAGUGGCGAAGGCGAUCUUCUGGUCUGUUUCUGACACUCAGACGCGACAGCUAGGGUAGUAAACGGGAUUAGAAACCCCAGUAGUCC
This 273-nucleotide ribosomal RNA is filed under the name uncultured bacterium. RNAcentral's name for it is "partial 16S ribosomal RNA". It matches the Rfam family "Bacterial small subunit ribosomal RNA", at positions 524 to 796 of the family's 1533-position model. The record is from RNAcentral.